UCUCAAGAGGUGACGUUUUUGUCACGUGCUUCACAUUCGACCAAUCAGGUAGCCGCGCAGAUCCAAGAUGGCGAUGUCAACAACGUCUAGCGCUGAAGAGGAAAAUACUCUAAAACACCUUAAAAAAGUUUGAAAAAAGAACAUCAAAAUAUGCUACAUGCAUGUUACGUCUGUUAGGAAUGAAGAGGUGAAUGAUUUCACUAUCAGAAGGUGGGAUACUUACAGGAAUUGUUUAAAACGGUGGCUUUGCUGUGAUGGUGAGUCUCAUAAAGUAGUCAAGAUAUUCACAUCCUGUAUCGAUGUUGAAUUUAAAGAUAUUCCUGAUGACGCUGGGCUUCACCCGACUUGUUACCGGCGGUUCAUUGAUAAGAAGCGUUUGGAUUCUGCCCAAAAACUGGCCAAUCGGCUGCAUGUGGGUCAAGAUGAGUUUGUGGCAUCGGACAUUCCAAAGAAAAAACUAAGAUGGAAGACGGGCCUGCCUAUCGGUUCUGCUGGCCCUGUGCUCCCUGACAUUUGGAUCAUUUGCAAGAGAACGGACAAGAGAGUUACUGCGGGAGGUAAACGGCAGAGGGACCAUCUUUUACAGGCAGAAACGCUUCCAGCAGGCCAGUUGAUGAACGCUGCCAGGAUAAAGCAUUCUCUUGCAUAUUGAAGACAGAGACUGUGUGGCCAUGGAAGUGCGGUACCACAAGUCCUGUCAGCUUCAUGACAAAGUCUGAUGUAACACUUACUGGAACCGCAGAUGAAGAAGUAAGUGAACCAACCAGCUACAACAUAUUCUGCGAGAGGAUCAUCCGCCAAAGGAUAAUUGUUAAUCAGGAGGUGCUGAGAAUGAACCAGCUAUGAUGAAUGUUUUUAAAUACCGUGCAAAAACAUGAAGAUUGUGAUUCUUCAAACUACAGGCAGGAUAAAUUAAAGAUAAGUCUGACUCUGGACUUUCCCCAACUGAUGUUUCAAGCGCAACAUCUGCGAACUGGUUUUUGUUGCAACAUUGUCUGCAGAUAAGCUGAUAGACAGGCUACCUCAUCCGUCAGGUACAGACACAAUUGAGUCAACUGGAGUAAGCCAAGGUGAAAGUGACACUAAACACAUGGCAAGAACAACUGCUCGUCCGCAAACUACUGAGAACACGAGGACACUUUAUAGUGCAGCGCUGAUAUUGAAGCAGCUACUAUGUGACUCUCCCGGUAUGACGUGCCCCCUGCCACCCACAUCAGAUGAUUUAAAUGUGUCCCAUGCAAAAUCUGUUGUGCCACUUGAACUGUACAAUGUUAUUGCUUGGA
This is a long non-coding RNA of Entelurus aequoreus (snake pipefish), 1283 nucleotides long. RefSeq lists it as uncharacterized. The transcript is spliced from 4 exons. NCBI's taxonomy places the organism in Eukaryota, Metazoa, Chordata, Actinopteri, Syngnathiformes, Syngnathidae. The record is from RefSeq and is a predicted model, not a curated record.